Molecule: ribosomal RNA, 231 nt
Filed under: uncultured bacterium
Lineage: Bacteria
Description: partial 16S ribosomal RNA
Rfam family: Bacterial small subunit ribosomal RNA
Source: RNAcentral
GAUCCUGGCUCAGGAUGAACGCUAGCUACAGGCUUAACACAUGCAAGUCGAGGGGAAACGACAUUGAAGCUUGCUUCGAUGGUCGUCGACCGGCGCACGGGUGAGUAACGCGUAUCCAACCUGCCUCUGACCAAGGGAUAACCCGUCGAAAGUCGGACUAAUACCUUAUGCAGUCGUCGGAAGUCAUCUGAUGACGACGAAAGAUUUCAUCGGUGAGAGAUGGGGAUGCGU